This 23-nucleotide small nuclear RNA is filed under the name Arabidopsis thaliana (thale cress). RNAcentral describes it as "snRNA_13272". The record is from RNAcentral. Lineage: Eukaryota; Viridiplantae; Streptophyta; Magnoliopsida; Brassicales; Brassicaceae.
AAACAAAGCAUUGCGAUGGUCCC